This 291-nucleotide ribosomal RNA is filed under the name uncultured bacterium. RNAcentral describes it as "partial 16S ribosomal RNA". It matches the Rfam family "Bacterial small subunit ribosomal RNA", at positions 333 to 615 of the family's 1533-position model. The record is from RNAcentral.
UUUUUCCUACGGGGGACAGCAGUAGGGAAUCUUCGGCAAUGGGGGCAACCCUGACCGAGCAACGCCGCGUGAGUGAAGAAGGGUUUCGGAUCGUAAAGCUCUGUUGUAAGAGAAGAACGUGUGUGAGAGUGGAAAGUUCACACAGUGACGGUAACUUACCAGAAAGGGACGGCUAACUACGUGCCAGCAGCCGCGGUAAUACGUAGGUCCCGAGCGUUAUCCGGAUUUAUUGGGCGUAAAGCGAGCGCAGGCGGUUGGAUAAGUCUGUAGUUAAAGGUUGUGGCUUAACCA